Molecule: ribosomal RNA, 253 nt
Filed under: uncultured bacterium
Lineage: Bacteria
Description: partial 16S ribosomal RNA
Rfam family: Bacterial small subunit ribosomal RNA
Source: RNAcentral
UACGUAGGGUGCAAGCGUUAAUCGGAAUUACUGGGCGUAAAGCGUGCGCAGGCGGUUAUGCAAGACAGAUGUGAAAUCCCCGGGCUCAACCUGGGAACUGCAUUUGUGACUGCAUGGCUAGAGUACGGUAGAGGGGGAUGGAAUUCCGCGUGUAGCAGUGAAAUGCGAAGAUAUGCGGAGGAACACCGAUGGCGAAGGCAAUCCCCUGGACCUGUACUGACGCUCAUGCACGAAAGCGUGGGGAGCAAACAGG